GCGGGCGUGGUGGAACGGUAGACACGCGAGACUUAGGAUCUCGUGACGCAAGUCGUGGGGGUUCAAAUCCCUCCGCCCGCACCA
Molecule: transfer RNA, 84 nt
Filed under: Rhodospirillales bacterium
Lineage: Bacteria; Pseudomonadati; Pseudomonadota; Alphaproteobacteria; Rhodospirillales
Description: tRNA-Leu
Rfam family: tRNA
About the family: Transfer RNA (tRNA) molecules are approximately 80 nucleotides in length.
Source: RNAcentral